RNAcentral lists this ribosomal RNA (113 nucleotides) under Microcebus murinus (gray mouse lemur). Lineage: Eukaryota; Metazoa; Chordata; Mammalia; Primates; Cheirogaleidae. The record is from RNAcentral.
GUCUACAGCCAUAUCCUUGAAAGGGCCUGAUCUCCUCUGAUCUCGGAAGCUAAGCAGGGUCGGGCCUGGUUAGUACUCAGAUGGGAGACUUUAUAUAUAAGUAAAUAUAUUCA